Molecule: transfer RNA, 63 nt
Filed under: Apaloderma vittatum (bar-tailed trogon)
Lineage: Eukaryota; Metazoa; Chordata; Aves; Trogoniformes; Trogonidae
Rfam family: tRNA
About the family: Transfer RNA (tRNA) molecules are approximately 80 nucleotides in length. Their secondary structure includes four short double-helical elements and three loops (D, anti-codon, and T loops). Further hydrogen bonds mediate the characteristic L-shaped molecular structure. tRNAs have two regions of fundamental functional importance: the anti-codon, which is responsible for specific mRNA codon recognition, and the 3' end, to which the tRNAs corresponding amino acid is attached (by aminoacyl-tRNA synthetases). tRNAs cope with the degeneracy of the genetic code in two manners: having more than one tRNA (with a specific anti-codon) for a particular amino acid; and 'wobble' base-pairing, i.e. permitting non-standard base-pairing at the 3rd anti-codon position.
Source: Rfam by way of RNAcentral
GCUUAAUCUGUCAGAAGUUGAGCGUGGCGCUAACAACGCCAAGGUCACGGGUUCGAUUCCCGU